This 656-nucleotide ribosomal RNA is filed under the name uncultured bacterium. Its description in RNAcentral is "bacterial SSU rRNA". It matches the Rfam family "Bacterial small subunit ribosomal RNA", at positions 388 to 1058 of the family's 1533-position model. The record is from RNAcentral.
CCAUCGACGCCGCGUGCGGGAUGAAGGCCUUCGGGUUGUAAACCGCUUUCAGUAGGGAAGAAGCGAAAGUGACGGUACCUACAAAAGAAGCACCGGCUAACUAUGUGCCAGCAGCCGCGGUAAUACAUAGGGUGCAAGCGUUGUCCGGAAUUAUUGGGCGUAAAGAGCUCGUAGGUUGUUCGUUACGUCGGAUGUGAAAAUCUGAGGCUCAACCUCAGACCUGCAUUCGAUACGGGCGAACUGGAGUGUGGUAGGGGAGACUGGAAUUCCUGGUGUAGCGGUGGAAUGCGCAGAUAUCAGGAGGAACACCAAUGGCGAAGGCAGGUCUCUGGGCCAUUACUGACACUGAGGAGCGAAAGUCUGGGGAGCGAACAGGAUUAGAUACCCUGGUAGUCCAGACCGUAAACGGUGGGCGCUAGUUGUGGGAACCUUCCACGGUUUCUGCGACGUAGCUAACGCAUUAAGCGCCCCGCCUGGGGAGUACGAUCGCCAGAUUAAAACUCAAAGGAAUUGACGGGGCCCCGCACAAGCAGCGGAGCAUGCGGCUUAAUUCGACGCAACGCGAAGAACCUUACCAAGGCUUGACAUAUAGGGAAAAGCAAUAGAGAUAUUGUGUCCGCAAGGGCCCUAUACAGGUGGUGCAUGGUUGUCGGCAG